Molecule: ribosomal RNA, 212 nt
Filed under: uncultured bacterium
Lineage: Bacteria
Description: partial 16S ribosomal RNA
Rfam family: Bacterial small subunit ribosomal RNA
Source: RNAcentral
CAGUUCGGAUUGAAGGCUGAAAUUCGCCUUCAUGAAGCUGGAAUUGCUAGUAAUGGCAGGUCAGCAUACUGCCGUGAAUACGUUCCCGGGCCUUGUACACACCGCCCGUCACACCAUGAGAGUUGGGAAUACCCGAAGCCUGUGAGCUAACUGUAAGGAGGCAGCAGUCGAAGGUAGAAUCAAUGAUUGGGGUGAAGUCGUAACAAGGUAUC